CCUACGGUGGUCAGCAGUGGGGAAUAUUGCACAAUGGGGGGAACCCUGAUGCAGCGACGCCGCGUGAGUGAAGAAGUAUUUCGGUAUGUAAAGCUCUAUCAGCAGGGAAGAAAAUGACGGUACCUGACUAAGAAGCCCCGGCUAACUACGUGCCAGCAGCCGCGGUAAUACGUCGGGGGCAAGCGUUAUCCGGCUUUACUGGGUGUAAAGGGAGCGCAGACGGCUGUGCAAGUCUGUAGUGAAAGGCGGGGGCACAACCCCCGGACUGCUCUGGAAACUGUAAAGCUGGAGUGCGGGAGAGGUAAGCGGAAUUCCUAGUGUAGCGGUGAAAUGCGUAGAUAUUAGGAGGAACACCAGUGGCGAAGGCGGCUUACUGGACUGCAACUGACGUUGAGGCUCGAAAGCGUGGGGAGCAAACAGGAUUAGAUACCCGAGUAGUC
RNAcentral lists this ribosomal RNA (440 nucleotides) under uncultured bacterium. RNAcentral describes it as "partial 16S ribosomal RNA". It matches the Rfam family "Bacterial small subunit ribosomal RNA", at positions 338 to 795 of the family's 1533-position model. The record is from RNAcentral.